Molecule: ribosomal RNA, 253 nt
Filed under: uncultured bacterium
Lineage: Bacteria
Description: partial 16S ribosomal RNA
Rfam family: Bacterial small subunit ribosomal RNA
Source: RNAcentral
UACAGGGGGUGCAAACGUUGCUCGGAAUCAUUGGGCGUAAAGAGCGUGUAGGCGGCCAGGUAGGUCUGCUGUGAAAACUCGAGGCUCAACCUCGAGACGUCGGCGGAAACCAUCUGGCUAGAGUCCGGAAGAGGAGAGUGGAAUUCCUGGUGUAGCGGUGAAAUGCGCAGAUAUCAGGAAGAACACCCGUGGCGAAGGCGGCUCUCUGGGACGGUACUGACGCUGAGACGCGAAAGCGUGGGGAGCGAACAGG